This is a non-coding RNA of Callorhinus ursinus (northern fur seal), 378 nucleotides long. Lineage: Eukaryota; Metazoa; Chordata; Mammalia; Carnivora; Otariidae. The record is from RefSeq and is a predicted model, not a curated record.
ACAUGUACUCUUCUGGUUCCCUCAUUGGUGUUCAGGAAGAGGAGGUUUGUGCCUCCCGGUGAGCUGGGUGCUAUGACAGAUUAGACUUUUAUGCGAGAAAAUAAAUCCUGCACAUGUGAUGUACUGCUUUAGACUCAAAGACCUCUUGGAACCUGGGACUGUAAGGAACUUAGGAGAAUAAUUGGAGACACUCAUCCAAUGGGAAAUACCUUAUGAUCAAAUUCUCAAGGAAAGAAGACAUGAGCCAAACAUUUUGUAUCCAGUGAAACUGACUUUCAAAUGAAAAAAGCACCAGUAAUCUUCAACUCUUUCUGAAGAAUCUGCUAGAGAUUGAGCUUCGGGUAACCUAAUGACCAGAGAGACAUCAACAGAAGAACU